Drosophila yakuba is the source of this 2287-nucleotide long non-coding RNA. RefSeq lists it as uncharacterized. Lineage: Eukaryota; Metazoa; Arthropoda; Insecta; Diptera; Drosophilidae. The transcript has 2 exons. The record is from RefSeq and is a predicted model, not a curated record.
GAGGCACUUCAGUAACUUGUCAAAAUUGUGACAAGUUGUUAUCGAAAUUCAGGGGAUCUCUGGGAUCCAGAGAACUGGAGAGCUGGCGAGCCAGAGAAGGGGGAGAGAUUUACCCUGUUUGAUGACAGUUUUCCAUGGAAAUCCAUCAGCGUGGAAGUGUGAAGUGCCGGCCAGGGAUUUUAAUUGCAAAGUUAGGAACAACACGCGGCUUAGCAGCAACUUUUCAGUCAAUGCGAUUAGCAGAUGGGACACCGAAAAUUCCGGCAAACUUUAUUUUCCGACUACCAAAAGAGCAUUAACAUUUUUGGAUAUAUUUGGAUUGUAUUUGUGCCUGGGGGACAAAGGCGAACCUGUUCUAAUCUGAUGCAGCUCGGUUGCACUUGAGAGGAUUUGCCGUUGCUGCUGCAGACAAAAGCCCAUUAAGGGAUAAGGGAUUGUCCGGCGGACAAUCGCGUCCUAGUCGCGGUUUCUGUUUGUCCAGACCGCAAAAACUAGUCCCGGAUCAGGACGAGAGUGUGAGUGUGGGUUAUUGUAAUGCCAUUAGUGCCUUAGCGUGACGGACACUUUUGCGUGGGCCGCGAUUAUCGAUCAAAGCCGCAAAAUUCCAACAGGUAGAACCUGAGCCCGUGCCCAUUUUCCAGCACACUCUGAGGUAUAAUUACGGCGAACCAGGGCACGUGAUUAGGACCCACGAAUGGAGUUGGCCCAGAAAUCCAGGCCAAGCGUUUCGACCGCACACACAACCGCAAAAGAGGAAAGAAUCUCGGUGAAUUCCCAGGAAAGCUGGUAACAUAAACAAAAAUCUCGCACAAACAAAGUGAAAGAUAAAGUCAUAAAUAAAAUCGGACUCUCUGCCUGGAACCCUGCUCUUUUCCCCCAAACCGAAGUUUGAGUUAACUCGGCCGCAUCCCUUGGCCAAUUCAUUGUGAAAGUGGGCCUCGACCACUGUGUAAGUAGUUGACACUCGAAUAGCAUCACGCGCAUCCUUUUCCGAGUGAAAUGGACCCGAAAGGCCUGCGACUUUAGAGCGCAGGAAACAUUUGAUUAUUUUUACGGCUUCUCGGAUUCCGAGCCCGCAAUUACAGGAAAUAAUUCGGCCAAGUGAGCGGGGUUAAAAUUAAGAAAUGCCCGCCGUCGAUAGGUCAGCCUAGAUAAGGCCCAAAGUGAAAAGAUACACAGCAGCCGGGGAAACUGGGGAGGCCGAGAUGUCCAGAGAUUGCAGACUAGGUCACGUAAGCCCAUCUAGAUAUACAUUUAUAUACACAUGUAUGGGUUGGUAGGUAGGUGGGUAUGGAAGUGCGGACGUCCAAGCGUGAAUGUCACGUAGCCAUUGGCAGGGUAAAUAAAUAAACCUACCGGGACACUGGACAUUCACACGACAAGUCCGCGGAAAAGACCCAAAUAUAUAUCAGUAUAUAUCAGUGAUAAUUUAUGUGCGUGCUGACAUGCGGGACCCUUGCCCCCAAUGCCAACAUCGAUCUUGCCUCCACUGCAGCAGUAGCUUGUACGCUUUGUUAACAAUUUAAUGGCAUAAACAUUAUGAUUUCUGUUAUUUCAAUUCGGACCCGAAUCUGAAUCCGAAUACGAGCCCAGAGUCCAGAGACAUCUUAUCAGAAAGCGGGGCUCUGUGCCAACGUGAAUGCGAUGCUGGCCACCAGAUAAACCGUGUGCAUUUGACGAUGAGGCCCAGUCCAGCCUCCAAUGUAUAUACCUUCGAGUAUUUAUUCGACUGCGGGAAUUAUUAUGCGUAACAUGUUCGGUUUGUUGGCUCUUUCGUCCGUCGCCAUAGUUGGCCCCCAGCAGGCGGUCAAAAAUGUUAACAAGCGCAAUUUGAACGCCUGGGAUCGCAAUAUCGGAGUUUUGGAGUAUACCGGAAUACCGGUUGAGCAUCCGCAUGUGUGUGCAAUUGAUUUUUGAUGGCCGAUAAAUAUAGUUAUGAAUACUUAACUCGUCGCCCAGCACCGCACUUUGUCGAAGGACAAAGGUACAUGUGCCUGGCACCGCUAGAAAUGAAAUGAUUUUCGCCAGGGCCCUGGAACAAUAACAAUUACGGCGAUGGCAAGCCUGCCCUGCAAAAGUCGUUUAUCUGAUGAGUUUUUAAUUAAUUUUCACCCAUUGACUUGCCAGCGGAGUGCCAUCGAUAAGGGCGGCUAUUGAAGAGUUUUGGCAUUGGACAAUAUCACAUCCACUCACGAUUUAUCAAAAAUCUCUUCUCGCUUCUUUUAUCUGACCUCGAGGACUUUAAGGCACUACACUUCAAUUAAAGCUUGAUAUAUAUUAUAAAUGG